RNAcentral lists this long non-coding RNA (1208 nucleotides) under Equus asinus (donkey). Its description in RNAcentral is "lncRNA (ENSEASG00005028823.1)". Lineage: Eukaryota; Metazoa; Chordata; Mammalia; Perissodactyla; Equidae. The record is from RNAcentral.
GAUGUAUUUAAAUGAUUGAAUAAAUUAAUAAAUGGAGAAGAGAUAAAUUUCCCAUGCCGAAGAAUUCCAAGUAAUGGAUAUCGCUACUCCCCGCGCAGGGAGGGGAGCGUGGCCCCCGCUCCGUCAGGGUGUGCCCACACGGUGACUCCCUUCAGAAGAGCGCAGUUUGGAUGGCAGUGGAGGAGGGAGUGACUUCACAGGAGAGGAACCUGACAAACGCUGCCUCAGCCAGUGAGCAAGGUCAGCGUCAUCAGUCACCAAUUGUGUGGAGACUGUGGACACUUGACAUCACGGCAGGAGAAUGGGAGUCUGUGGUCUCCUCCCCCAAACUCAUGAGCUUGUAAUUGUGACAGAAGCACCAGACAGAUUUCAGUAGAGCAGUGUGAUGGUUAGUUCUCUGUGACAACUCAGCUAGUCCUCAGCACCCGGUUAUUCAAUCAAACACUCAUCUAGGUACUGCUGUGAAGGUACUUUGUACAUGGGAUGAACAUCUCCGAUCUGUUGACUCUAAGCAAAGGAGACGAUCUCGAUACUCUGGUUGGUCCUCAUCCAAUGAGUUGAAUGGCCUUAAGAACAAAACCAAAGGUUCCCCAAGGAAGAAGAAAGUCUACCUACGGAUGGCAGUGCCAGCGCCUCCCUGCAGACUUUGGACUUGCAUAACCAGCCCCCACAAUUGAUAAGCCAAUUCCUUGGCAAUAAAGCGGAUCUGCACAGGCGGUGCAUCCUUGUAUCCACCAUGGUGAGAGUGUUAGUGAGCAUGAAGGUGCAGCACUCCCCUGGGUAUUAGCACCCCACGUACCUCAGCAACGGAAUCCUUAUUGCCAUCUGGACGGGCCCUGCUGGGAUUGCAGAGGGUUGAUGGCACCAUGUAACAAUGCUGGCAGCCAAGGGGUUAACCCUCAGGCCAGCUGCCCCUGGGCUGAUGUGAGCGCGGGAGAAAUCGGAGAGACACCAUGGAUCACAGGUCAGAAACAAGGGAGGAGAGGCGUCGGAGAUCAGAGACGCGAGGCGAGGGCUCCGGGCCUUGAGUGUGGGGUGGACAGACCAGAUGCCCCCUCUUCCUCCUUCCAAUCGAUGCCUCUUCCAGGGACCCCCUCUGCCCUCCCUGGGGCCUCGGCCCUCUCCCCAUCCCCCUAAAAUCCUGCACCCUCUGCGGAUUGGUCCCCGGCCUGCAGGGGGGCGGGGCCCGAGGGCCCUGACGUCACCGG